CCGCGCCAAACAGUUCAAGCUAAACAACUGUCUUACUUAUCCAGGGGGCCUAGAUGUGGAACAAGGGAUAACCAGCCUGCAAAACACAGCUCUAGGGAAGCUGGCUGACUUCCCUGGAACUUGCCUUUCUCUUGCUUCAUUCUUCCAAGUGCUGUGAAUACAGUGUUCAGACUGGCACCAUCUGAGAGAAUGUCCUACAAUCAUCAAAAUGUGGACGCCAGCUCAGACGGACAAAGCGACUAGAAACCAAGACAGGGACCACAUCUCUGGGAGCAGAAGGAAGGAUGCUGGAGCUUGGGAUGGCUAAGGAGGAACAAGAGGAGAUCAUCAGAAGUGCUUGUGCUAUAGUGAAAAUCAGGCAUGAAGUCAGAGCUGAACUUAACAUACAUAGCCAAGAACAUCAAAUAUGUUCUAAUAAAGGCUAAUAAGAGAAAUAA
Molecule: long non-coding RNA, 437 nt
Organism: Peromyscus maniculatus bairdii (prairie deer mouse)
Lineage: Eukaryota; Metazoa; Chordata; Mammalia; Rodentia; Cricetidae
Source: RefSeq, a predicted model, not a curated record